This 492-nucleotide ribosomal RNA is filed under the name uncultured bacterium. RNAcentral describes it as "partial 16S ribosomal RNA". It matches the Rfam family "Bacterial small subunit ribosomal RNA", at positions 29 to 507 of the family's 1533-position model. The record is from RNAcentral.
AGUGAACGCUGGCGGUAGGCCUAACACAUGCAAGUCGAACGGCAGCACAGUAAGAGCUUGCUCUUACGGGUGGCGAGUGGCGGACGGGUGAGGAAUACAUCGGAAUCUACUUUUUCGUGGGGGAUAACGUAGGGAAACUUACGCUAAUACCGCAUACGACCUCCGGGUGAAAGCAGGGGAUCUUCGGACCUUGCGCGAUUGAAUGAGCCGAUGUCGGAUUAGCUAGUUGGCAGGGUAAAGGCCCACCAAGGCGACGAUCCGUAGCUGGUCUGAGAGGAUGAUCAGCCACACUGGAACUGAGACACGGUCCAGACUCCUACGGGAGGCAGCAGUGGGGAAUAUUGGACAAUGGGCGCAAGCCUGAUCCAGCCAUACCGCGUGGGUGAAGAAGGCCUUCGGGUUGUAAAGCCCUUUUGUUGGGAAAGAAAAGCAGCAGGUUAAUACCCCGCUGUUCUGACGGUACCCAAAGAAUAAGCACCGGCUAACUUCGUG